Non-coding RNA from Podarcis lilfordi (Lilford's wall lizard), 76 nucleotides. The record is from the annotation of a GenBank genome assembly. NCBI's taxonomy places the organism in Eukaryota, Metazoa, Chordata, Lepidosauria, Squamata, Lacertidae.
GGGAAAGUCCAUAGCUCAGUGGUGGAGCAUCUGAUUUGUAUGCAGAAGGUCUCAGAUUCAAUCUUUGGCAUUUCCA